CAGGGUACUCGAGUGGCGAACGGGUGAGUAACACGUGGGUGAUCUGCCCUGCACUUCGGGAUAAGCCUGGGAAACUGGGUCUAAUACCGGAUAGGAGCCAUUUUUAGUGUGAUGGUUGGAAAGUUUUUUCGGUGUAGGGUGAGCUCGCGGCCUAUCAGCUUGUUGGUGGGGUAAUGGCCUACCAAGGCGGCGACGGGUAGCCGGCCUGAGAGGGUGGACGGCCACAUUGGGACUGAGAUACGGCCCAG
Molecule: ribosomal RNA, 248 nt
Filed under: uncultured Actinomycetales bacterium
Lineage: Bacteria; Bacillati; Actinomycetota; Actinomycetes; Actinomycetales
Description: partial 16S ribosomal RNA
Rfam family: Bacterial small subunit ribosomal RNA
Source: RNAcentral